UGAUUGUUGCCUUAUCCGCUAAAAACAAAAUUGGCUUUAUUUAUGGCACAUGUCCCCGGCCAGUCACUAAUGUGACUGAGCAAAGACUAUGGGACAGAUACAAUAAUAUGGUAAUUUCCUGGUUAACUGCCUCCCUGUCCCCUCAAAUUGCUGAAAGUGUGCAAGAAGCAGAGACAAGUCCAGUCCCCUUCUCAGUUUAAUCCAGAAUCUAUGUCUUUCAAUGUCCACACAAAUAGACAUUUAGUUGGAUUCAAUAGGGUCACAGUGCCUAAUCCUUCUCCUUCUUUCAGACAAAGAGUCAAUUUUGACCAAGCCAGAGGAUCUUUAUUCUGUAGAUACUGCAAAAAAUCUGGGCACUUAAUUGAUAAGUGUUUCAAGAUUCAUGGGUAUCCACAAAGUACAACAUUUAACAAGGGUAGGAGACCUGCUGCUGUUCAUCUAACUGCUGGUGUGGAUUUCCCUUCUUCUGAAGGACAUGUGUCUGUUCCCCAAGGAAAUCCUCCUGAUAGCCAUCACUCUGUUACAAACAUAGAUGGCCAGUGUUCUGUGAUACCAGGGUUGAGCAGACAACAGUAUGACCAAUUUAUGAGCUUGUUACAACAGACCCAGUUAGGGGAUUCCACUGCUCAGACUCUUCCUCCCAUGUAUGCUGCUAAUUUUGCUGGUACAAUGCUAACUGAGAGCCCUAUUUCUGAUUCCAAACUUUGCAUGCUUACUCAUAGUAACUCUGCCACCUGGAUAAUAGACUCAGGGGCAUCUAAUCAUAUGACAUAUGAUAAAAAUUUACUCUUCAACAUAACACCUUUAACUGUACCCUACCUUGUAACUCUUCCUAAUGGAUUACUCAUAUUAACUCUGCCACCUGGAUAAUAGACUCAGGGGCAUCUAAUCAUAUGACAUAUGAUGAAAAUUUACUUUUCAACAUAACACCUUUAACUGUACCCUACCUUGUAACUCUUCCUAAUGGAUAUAAAGUGAAAGUUACAUGCACAGGAUCUUUUGCAUUAAAUCCUUCCAUUACCCUUCAAAAUGUCUUGUUAGUUCCUUCUUUUAAACACAACUUGAUUUCUGUCCACAAGUU
This 1081-nucleotide long non-coding RNA is filed under the name Nicotiana benthamiana. RNAcentral describes it as "long non-coding RNA (NBEN_LNC008557)". Lineage: Eukaryota; Viridiplantae; Streptophyta; Magnoliopsida; Solanales; Solanaceae. The record is from RNAcentral.